Molecule: ribosomal RNA, 253 nt
Filed under: uncultured bacterium
Lineage: Bacteria
Description: partial 16S ribosomal RNA
Rfam family: Bacterial small subunit ribosomal RNA
Source: RNAcentral
UACGUAGGGUGCGAGCGUUAAUCGGAAUUACUGGGCGUAAAGCGUGCGCAGGUUGUUUUGCAAGUCAGAUGUGAAAGCCCCGGGCUCAACCUGGGAAUUGCAUUUGAAACUACAAGGCUAGAGUGUGGCAGAGGGGGGUAGAAUUCCACGUGUAGCAGUGAAAUGCGUAGAUAUGUGGAGGAAUACCGAUGGCGAAGGCAGCCCCCUGGGUUAACACUGACGCUCAUGCACGAAAGCGUGGGGAGCAAACAGG